Molecule: ribosomal RNA, 497 nt
Filed under: uncultured bacterium
Lineage: Bacteria
Description: partial 16S ribosomal RNA
Rfam family: Bacterial small subunit ribosomal RNA
Source: RNAcentral
GAUGAACGCUGGCGGCGUGCCUAAUACAUGCAAGUCGAGCGAACGGACGAGAAGCUUGCUUUUCUGAUGUUAGCGGCGGACGGGUGAGUAACACGUGGAUAACCUACCUAUAAUACUGGGAUAACUUCGGGAAACCGGAGCUAAUACCGGAUAAUAUUUUGAACCGCAUGGUUCAAAAGUGAAAGACGGUCUUGCUGUCACUUAUAGAUGGAGCCGCGUUGCAUUAGCUAGUUGGUAAGGUAACGGCUUACCAAGGCAACGAUGCAUAGCCGACCUGAGAGGAUGAUCGGCCACACUGGAACUGAGACACGGUCCAGACUCCUACGGGAGGCAGCAGUAGGGAAUCUUCCGCAAUGGGCGAAAGCCUGACGGAGCAACGCCGCGUGAGUGAUGAAGGUCUUCGGAUCGUAAAACUCUGUUAUUAGGGAAGAACAUAUGUGUAAGUAACUGUGCACAUCUUGACGGUACCUAAUCAGAAAGCCACGGCUAACUACGUG